Molecule: transfer RNA, 72 nt
Filed under: Camelus ferus (Wild Bactrian camel)
Lineage: Eukaryota; Metazoa; Chordata; Mammalia; Artiodactyla; Camelidae
Rfam family: tRNA
About the family: Transfer RNA (tRNA) molecules are approximately 80 nucleotides in length.
Source: Rfam by way of RNAcentral
GAGGGUAUAGCUCAAUGGUUGACUGUGUGCUUAGCAUGCACAAGGUCCUGGGUUCAAUCCCUGAUACCUCCG